CCUCUUUCAGUAGGGAAGAAGCCCCUUUUUGGGGUGACGGUACUUGCAGAAGAAGCGCCGGCUAACUACGUGCCAGCAGCCGCGGUAAUACGUAGGGCGCAAGCGUUAUCCGGAAUUAUUGGGCGUAAAGAGCUCGUAGGCGGUUUGUCGCGUCUGCCGUGAAAGUCCGAGGCUCAACCUCGGAUCUGCGGUGGGUACGGGCAGACUAGAGUGAUGUAGGGGAGACUGGAAUUCCUGGUGUAGCGGUGAAAUGCGCAGAUAUCAGGAGGAACACCGAUGGCGAAGGCAGGUCUCUGGGCAUUUACUGACGCUGAGGAGCGAAAGCAUGGGGAGCGAACAGGAUUAGAUACCCUGGUAGUCCAUGCCGUAAACGUUGGGCACUAGGUGUGGGGGACAUUCCACGUUUUCCGCGCCGUAGCUAACGCAUUAAGUGCCCCGCCUGGGGAGUACGGCCGCAAGGCUAAAACUCAAAGGAAUUGACGGGGGCCCGCGCAAGCGGCGGAGCAUGCGGAUUAAUUCGAUGCAACGCGAAGAACCUUACCAAGGCUUGACAUGUUCCAGACCGGGCCAGAGAUGGUCUUUCCCCUUUUGGGGCUGGUUCACAGGUGGUGCAUGGUUGU
This 620-nucleotide ribosomal RNA is filed under the name uncultured bacterium. Its description in RNAcentral is "bacterial SSU rRNA". It matches the Rfam family "Bacterial small subunit ribosomal RNA", at positions 430 to 1052 of the family's 1533-position model. The record is from RNAcentral.